AUUAAACAGAUAAAAUAAAAAUUAGAAAAAACAGUAACAUUUUGAAGAAACUAAGAUUUGGCUUUAAAAGAUAAAAUUAUGUUUAAGUGCAAUAAAAAAUUGUUGUGGUGUAAGUUGACUGUUGUCAUCUGUUUUAAAGUCAGCUACAGGCUGUCAUCUGAGCCAACAGCUAUUUGUAGUAAAGCAGUGAUUCAGAUGUAAAGCAUAGACAAUGAGGAGACAUUAAAGAACAUCAUACACUGUAAAAAAUCCAACUUGCAAAUUGCUAACUCAAAUCAAAAUUGUAAGUUGGGUGGACAUAUUUUGAGCUCAGUGUUGAGUUUACUUUUAAAAAUGAGUUAACUGAAGGUGUAAAACUGGUUUGUUCAAUGAAAGUAAAUACUUAAGUUGAGCAGACUUUACAUUUUGAGUUCUUCACUGGAUCAUCUACUUCCCGUCUUUGCACAUGCUCAGUCUGUCUUCGGGUGCCAUUUUGCACGAGGUGUCCUCUCACCAGCAGCAGCUGCCAUCUCCUGAUUCAGGUUUGGAAUGCAGUGUAAGUUUUGCAAAUUUGUAAACAGUAGCUGAGAAGUUACACUACAGGCUACAUCGCUAUCAAGGACCAUCCUGGCAGCAGCCUUGUUUGUUCGCAGACUGCUUCUGCACUUUAAAGACUCUGAUGUCCGAAAACAGUGGCCUACAUGUUUUUGG
Danio rerio (zebrafish) is the source of this 690-nucleotide non-coding RNA. The record is from RefSeq and is a predicted model, not a curated record. NCBI's taxonomy places the organism in Eukaryota, Metazoa, Chordata, Actinopteri, Cypriniformes, Danionidae.